GACGAACGCUGGCGGCGCGCCUAACACAUGCAAGUCGAACGAGGUCUUUUAGAAGCUUGCUUCUGGCUGACCUAGUGGCGGACGGGUGAGUAACGCGUGGGUAACCUGCCUCAUACAGGGGGAUAACAGUUAGAAAUGACUGCUAAUACCGCAUAAGCGCACAGUAUCGCAUGAUACAGUGUGAAAAACUCCGGUGGUAUGAGAUGGACCCGCGUCUGAUUAGCUAGUUGGUAAGGUAACGGCUUACCAAGGCGACGAUCAGUAGCCGACCUGAGAGGGUGACCGGCCACAUUGGGACUGAGACACGGCCCAAACUCCUACGGGAGGCAGCAGUGGGGAAUAUUGCACAAUGGGGGAAACCCUGAUGCAGCGACGCCGCGUGAAGGAAGAAGUAUUUCGGUAUGUAAACUUCUAUCAGCAGGGAAGAAAAUGACGGUACCUGACUAAGAAGCCCCGGCUAAUUACGUGCCAGCCGCCGCCGUAACAC
This 487-nucleotide ribosomal RNA is filed under the name uncultured bacterium. Its description in RNAcentral is "bacterial SSU rRNA". It matches the Rfam family "Bacterial small subunit ribosomal RNA", at positions 28 to 526 of the family's 1533-position model. The record is from RNAcentral.